GUGCCUCCAAAAUGUCAACAUCUCAUGAGCUAAGAAAAACAGGCCUGUUUUCAUCUGUGUGAGGAUAUACUGCUCAGAUAAUCCAAUUGGUUUUCAAAUGGUUUACCCACUGAAAAAUAUGUUUUGCUUUUUGUUACUUCACCUGGAUGUUUGAGCUUCACUGUGCAGACUGAUGUACGUGCAGUAUGAGAUUUUGUAUCUGCUGAGGGGGACGUUUCUCUGAGCUCACCUUAAAUCUCACGUUAAAGACAUACUGCAGGUGCCUCAUUCACUGAGCACAUCAGGCCCUCCUGGCAGACUCCACGACCUCUCAGCUGGAACACAGCUCGACACACAGACCAACCUGCCUGUGCAGCUCGUCUCCUCUUCAGCUCCUCACUCUGCUGUCUGCUCACCGAGUUUCCUCUCCUCACUGGACUCCCAUCAGCCACUUGGGGGCAGUAUAUAGCCAGAGAAGUCGGUGUUGUGGGCUCA
Molecule: long non-coding RNA, 474 nt
Organism: Epinephelus lanceolatus (giant grouper)
Lineage: Eukaryota; Metazoa; Chordata; Actinopteri; Perciformes; Serranidae
Source: RefSeq, a predicted model, not a curated record